UAUAUAUAGAUAUAUACAUAUAAUUAUAUAAAUAUAGAUAUAUGCAUACAUAUAUACACAUAUAUACAGGCGUAAAUAACAUGCAUAUAUGUAUAUAUAUAUAUAUCAGUAUUCAGAUACGUAUAUCCUUUACAAACACUGAAACACACAUGCACACAAACACACACUUAAAAUAUUAGAGAAUAUAAAUGUUUCAGAAUUGAUCUAUAAAAGCAUUACCAGAAAACUAUUACGUUGUUUUUAUGUUGACUCUGGUCUAAAAUUAAAUGUUUUGAAGAUUUACAAGCAGUUGUGACACAAACGACCUGGGAUAAUCUUCUGCUGAAAUGCAAACCAUGGAAGAGGCAGUUUUGAAUAGAAAGAUUGAGUUUGUCAUCAUUAUGCGAAUGACUGAAUAAAAUUUCAAAUUUGUAAUUGUGUGGCUGGAGGCCCUGAUGGAAUUUAAAGAAAAUUAAUACAUAUUUCUGUAAAAAAAAAAAUGUUCAUGAAAGUGUUUCAAGUGAAAAGUAACUGGAAUUACCAAUGAAAAAUAUGAUAUAUAUAUAUAUAUCAUAAACACACACACAUAGUGAUAUAUAUCAUAUACAUACAUUCAUAUAUAUAUAUAUAUAUAUAUAUAUAUAUGUAUGUAUAGAUACAUACAUAAAGAAAUAGAUAAAUAUAUGUAUAUGUAUGAAUACAUUAUAUAUAUAUAUACAUACACACACACACAAAUAUAUAUAUAUAUAUUAUAUAUAUAUAUAUAUAUUAUAUAUAUAUAUAUACAUAUAUAUGCGUGCAGAUUUUGGAGUACAAACUGGUGGAAGACUACUGGACAUAUUAAUAUUGGCAUUGUUGAUAUAGUCGUUGUAUAGGUUAAAAUACCGUUACUCGGAGUUUCCCACCAAUCGAUGGAUUGUAUAAUACAAUCAAUGGAUUGUAUAAUUGUUCGGAACAAGUUGGGUUCAUAUUGAGUAUAUCCGCUAUCACUGCGAAUUGAUAUAAUGAACGCAGUUCACUUAGAGAAUCACGAGUAUAAGCGCAUAGUUUACCUUAUAGGAGCAUUAAAGUUUCCGUGUCUAACUAUUUAAAUAAAAUACCUACUAAUUAGCAGGCAAAGUUCAUAGGUAAACAAUAGAAUGUAUUAGGAGCGAAACUUAUUAUUGGGAGUCGUCCUUAGACUAAGUUAAUGUGAUGGAUGAGAUCAAAGAAUAAUAGAAGUAGAGUUAGAGUUUAAGAAUAGACGUAUUAUCAAUUAAUGAACAAGGUUACUGAGUAAAAAAGAACGUUACUAUUUGAUUAUCAGUAUGAUCCAGUAGUUGUGCGAAGCUAUAGAAGUUAACCAUCACCGAUUUGAACAGGUAAUUUUUGAAUAAGCUCUAGCAAUCUCCUCACUCAGUAACCCUGUUAUAUCAUCAUGCAUCUUUUCUUAAUAUUUGGAAAUUGAUAUCAUCACGAGAUUGAACGUUGGAUAUCUCCCUUGAUCCGUUUCAUCAUAUUGAUUCUGUCUGCGAUAAUCCAACUGUAAUUUCCUUGUCCUGAGACUUUUUUGUUUACCUUGGGACACUUCGCGCCAAAUGACUGGUAGUUUACUUAGUCGUAUGCGUUAUCCGAAAUACUAAUAUAGGGAAAAACAACCUUAAUAUCAUGUAUUAAAGGAAUGUGUC
This 1646-nucleotide long non-coding RNA is filed under the name Octopus sinensis (East Asian common octopus). RNAcentral's name for it is "uncharacterized LOC118762156". Lineage: Eukaryota; Metazoa; Mollusca; Cephalopoda; Octopoda; Octopodidae. The record is from RNAcentral.